This 450-nucleotide ribosomal RNA is filed under the name uncultured Glomus. RNAcentral's name for it is "SSU rRNA". It matches the Rfam family "Eukaryotic small subunit ribosomal RNA", at positions 569 to 1024 of the family's 1831-position model. Lineage: Eukaryota; Fungi; Glomeromycota; Glomeromycetes; Glomerales; Glomeraceae. RNAcentral also lists the same sequence under 1 other name. The record is from RNAcentral.
AGCAGCCGCGGUAAUUCCAGCUCCAAUAGCGUAUAUUAAAGUUGUUGCAGUUAAAAAGCUCGUAGUUGAAUUUCGGGAUCAAUUUAUUGGUCGUGCUAUUGUACGUACUGGUAUUAUUGAUUUCUACCUUCUGACGAACCAUGAUGUCAUUAAUUUGGUGUCUUGGGGAAUCAGGACUGUUACUUUGAAAAAAUUAGAGUGUUUAAAGCAGGCUCACGCUUGAAUACAUUAGCAUGGAAUAACGAAAUAGGACGUUUGAUUCUAUUUUGUUGGUUUCUAGGAUCGACGUAAUGAUUAAUAGGGAUAGUUGGGGGCAUUAGUAUUCAAUUGUCAGAGGUGAAAUUCUUGGAUUUAUUGAAGACUAACUACUGCGAAAGCAUUUGCCAAGGAUGUUUUCAUUAAUCAAGAACGAAAGUUAGGGGAUCGAAGACGAUCAGAUACCGUCGUAGU